This 2893-nucleotide ribosomal RNA is filed under the name Phocaeicola vulgatus. RNAcentral's name for it is "Bacteroides vulgatus 23S ribosomal RNA". It matches the Rfam family "Bacterial large subunit ribosomal RNA". Lineage: Bacteria; Pseudomonadati; Bacteroidota; Bacteroidia; Bacteroidales; Bacteroidaceae. The record is from RNAcentral.
GGAUAAGGAAAGUAAAAAAGGGCGCAUGGCGGAUGCCUUGGCUCUCGGAGGCGAUGAAGGACGUGAUAAGCUGCGAUAAGCUUUGGGGAGGUGCAAAUGACCUUUGAUCCAGAGAUUUCCGAAUGGGACAACCCAAUAUCUUGAAGAGGUAUUAUCCAACGUUGUUGGAGGCUAACGCAGGGAACUGAAACAUCUUAGUACCUGCAGGAAAAGAAAAUAAACAAUGAUUCCCCCAGUAGUGGCGAGCGAACGGGGAACAGCCCAAACCAUCCAUGUUACGGCAUGGGUGGGGUUGUAGGACUACGCCGUUGCAUGAAGACAUCAGAGAAGAACUUUCUGGAAAGAAAGACCAUAGAGCAUGACAGUUGCGUAUUCGAAUGUUGUCGAAGCAUAGUAGUAUCCUGAGUAGCGCGGAGCACGAGGAAUUCUGCGUGAAUCUGCCGGGACCAUCCGGUAAGGCUAAAUACUCCCGAGAGACCGAUAGCGAACCAGUACCGUGAGGGAAAGGUGAAAAGCACUUCGAACAGAAGAGUGAAAUAGUUCCUGAAACCGUGCGCCUACAAGCGGUCGGAGCUCGUUAAUGAGUGACGGCGUGCCUUUUGCAUAAUGAACCUACGAGUUGCCUUUGCCGGCAAGGUUAAGUGUGACGACACACGUAUCCGAAGCGAAAGCGAGUCUGAACAGGGCGUAUAGUCGGCAGUGGCAGACGCGAAACCAAGUGAUCUACCCUUGGCCAGGUUGAAGGCUGGGUAACACCAGCUGGAGGACCGCACCAAUAAGCGUUGAAAAGCUUCUGGAUGAGCUGAGGGUAGGGGUGAAAGGCUAAUCAAACUUGGAGAUAGCUCGUACUCCCCGAAAUGCAUUUAGGUGCAGCCUUGCGGGUUACUGAUGUGAGGUAGAGCGACUGAUAAGAUGCGAGGGCUUCACCGCCUAUCAAGUCUUGACAAACUCCGAAUGCGCAUCAGUUCUACCGCAGGAGUGAGGGCAUGGGUGCUAAGGUCCGUGCCCGAGAGGAGAAGAAUCCGGACCACCUGCUAAGGUCCCGAAAUGACAGCUAAGUUAAACUAACGAAGUCUGACUGCUAAGACAGCUAGGAUGUUGGCUUGGAAGCAGCCAUUCAUUUAAAGAGUGCGUAACAGCUCACUAGUCGAGGAGUCGGGCGUGGAUAAUAAUCGGGUAUUAAGUUGUCUACCGAAGCAGUGGGAUCAUUUAUAUGAUCGGUAGGGGAGCAUUCCAGUCAGCGUCGAAGGCGUACCGUGAGGUAUUCUGGAGCGUCUGGAAAAGCAAAUGUAGGUAUAAGUAACGAUAAAGGGGGCGGGAAACCCCCUCGCCGAAAGACUAAGGUUUCCUGAUCAACGCUAAUCGGAUCAGGGUCAGUCGGGUCCUAAGGCUCAGCCGAACGGCGAUGCCGAUGGCAGAAACGGUUAAUAUUCCGUUACUACCUUCAGGAGUGACGUGGAGACGCAGUAGUGACAGUGCCGCCAUCUGACGGAAUAGAUGGUUGAAGGGUGUAGGAGUCGAUCAUGGCAGGCAAAUCCACCAUGAGAUCCGAACCUGAUAGUAUGCCGCGUCCUUCGGGACAAGGCAAUAGUGCGCGUAAGCAUGCUGCCGAGAAAAUCCGCUAAACUUAAUCCUGCAGGUACCCGUACCGCAAACGGACACACGUAGUCGGGAUGAAUAUUCUAAGGCGCUUGAGUGAUUCACGGUUAAGGAACUAGGCAAACUGACCCUGUAACUUCGGGAUAAAGGGUCCCUACCCUUUUAUGGGAGGGCGCAGAGAAUCGGUCCAGGCAACUGUUUAACAAAAACACAGGGCUGUGCCAAAUCGAAAGAUCCAGUAUACAGCCUGACACCUGCCCGGUGCUGGAAGGUUAAGAGGAGAUGUCAUCGAUAAGAGAAGCGUUGAAUUGAAGCCCCAGUAAACGGCGGCCGUAACUAUAACGGUCCUAAGGUAGCGAAAUUCCUUGUCGGGUAAGUUCCGACCUGCACGAAUGGUGUAAUGAUCUGGACGCUGUCUCAACCGUGAGCUCAGUGAAAUUGUAGUAUCGGUGAAGAUGCCGAUUACCCGCGAUGGGACGAAAAGACCCCGUGAACCUUUACUAUAGCUUAUCAUUGAAUCUGGGCACGUGAUGUGUAGGAUAGGUCGGAGGCUUUGAAGCAGGUACGCCAGUAUUUGUGGAGCCGCUGUUGAAAUACGACCCUUUAUUUGUUUGGAUUCUAACCCGUGGAACGGGGACAUUGAUUGGUGGGUAGUUUGACUGGGGUGGUCGCCUCCAAAAGCGUAACGGAGGCUUCUAAAGGUGCCCUCCGGCCGAUUGGUAACCGGCCUUAGAGUGUAAUGGCAUAAGGGCGCUUGACUGGGAGACUGACAAGUCGAUCAGGUAGGAAACUAGAGCAUAGUGAUCCGGUGUUUCCGUAUGGAAGGGACAUCGCUCAAAGGAUAAAAGGUACUCCGGGGAUAACAGGCUGAUCCCUCCCAAGAGCUCAUAUCGACGGAGUGGUUUGGCACCUCGAUGUCGGCUCGUCACAUCCUGGGGCUGGAGAAGGUCCCAAGGGUUGGGCUGUUCGCCCAUUAAAGUGGCACGCGAGCUGGGUUCAGAACGUCGUGAGACAGUUCGGUCUCUAUCUAUCGUGGGCGUAUGAAAUUUGCGUGGCUCUGACACUAGUACGAGAGGACCGUGUUGGACAGACCUCUGGUUUGCCGGUUGUGCCGCCAGGUGCAUUGCCGGGUAUCUAAGUCUGGAUCGGAUAAGUGCUGAAAGCAUCUAAGUACGAAGCCGGCCACAAGAUUAGAUUUCUCAGGGUCGUUGUAGACUACGACGUUGAUAGGAUGCAGGUGUAAAGAUGGAGACAUCAAAGCCGAGCAUUACUAAUUGCCCGUUCACUUUCCUUA